AAUAUCAUGAUCUAGAUUGGUUUUUGACAUUUAGGAUUUCGUGCCCUUUUGGAACCCUAUUCAUUCCAAUCUUACUUCGAAGCCACACUCCAUUAGUUUCUUAUACAAACAUACAUACUUUGUGAAUUACAGUGAAUGGGGUAAGUAUCAAAUAAUGACGAGUACUGCAUGGAAACCAGUUUCUUGUUCAAUGACGCUCAAUAAAUGCAUUAUUUCUUAAACCUGUAGCAAGUAAGUAAUGAUGCGAAUUGUGUUACGUGCUUAACUGGGAUUUCCUUCCAGGAUGAGGUUAGUUGGCUUAAUCUGUAUAGAGGUUCUCACCAAGUAAGGAAAAAGUGGUAUUUUUCCUGGUUGACGAGUUAAUAAGUAAGAAAGGAGUAAGGAUUGAGAAAUUCACUAGUGAUCCAUUUAUUCUUAAUUAAUUAUUUGGCCUGUAUGCAGGUAAGACAUGAAUGAGCCAGGUAGUCGUUAAGGUAGGGAAGAAGAAGAAGAGUUAAUAAGGAUGGGAAAUUAUCCAUGAGUAAUCAAUCAUUAUCAUCUCAACUAAUUUUUACGUAUCAGGGUUGUAAAGGUUAUAAAAUUGUGCAUCCUGGCUUUACAACAGUUAUGUAUGUAUGUAUAAACCACUAAAUUUUGUUAAUUUUUCUUUCGAAAACCUUCCAGAAGUUUGGGACCUGUCGGUAAAAAUGUGAUCCAUUAAGGUUAUCCAUAUGGAUGUAAUUAUUUGCUUAUGCAAUUUGGGGGUAUGUACACGUGGAUUUAUAUGUACAUAAUGGAUUUACCUAUUUAUGAUCACCUGAUUUAUGACGCUAAACAGGAUAAAAAUAUUUUCCAGAAAAUUCAUUCAUUCAUGUAAGGAAGGUAGAUGAACAAGUAAAGUGGAAACAUUAAAGUCAAGUGCUGUCCAAGUUUUAAAAAUAUGUAUGUGGGAAAAUAUGCAGCAUAUUUUCAUGGAUUAUUUAUGUUGGGUACUAAUCAUCUGAAAAUCAUGAUAGCAAAUCUCAUUCUUAGCUAAUAACUGGAUAUGAAAUUAAAUCUCAUUAGUUAUGUAGCAUUCUUAAAAAUAAUGUUACCCUCUUGAGAACUAAAUUCAAUAUUAAGUAAGCAAAACAAAACGUGACUUUUAUCAAGUUAACGUUACUCCGAAUUUACUAUAUGUAACUUUCGUAAUAUAUAUAUUUUGAACUCGGAGUGCAUUUAUUUUUCACAAAGAUAGCAUCAUUUUCAAGAGCGUAUUGUACAUAUCUAUCUAACCAAAAAUAUGUUGUUAAUUGUGUACUCACAUAUGUAUGUAUGCAUGUAACCUUUUCUGACACGACCUUUCCACACGUUUACCCUUGCGAAAGGUGAGCCAUAAAAUUCUUGCUGUCAAUUCACCCAUAAUUUAGUAGGGAUUAGAGAUGCAAUCAACUCGUCAAUCUUAAUAUGAGACCCACGGAUGCAUAAAUUACUUAUAUCCACAUAAACACCUCGGGGAGUCAUAUCUCGGCACAAAAUCGCCCAUAAAACCAGUGCCACGAUGAGAUUGCUGACACACUACGAUUGUACUUAACCCAAACUUUAACUGAUGUUUUAUCACAUCACAUUACACAAACAAAGGAAUUCUCAACGCGCUGUUAUGCAUGGAGAGUUGUGAGAAUUUUUAGUAAACUUUGUGAUGAUUCUCCAUACCAGAGAGAAUUCCAACUUGGCAAAAAAGAAAUCCUCGUCAACAAACAAUAAUAUUUGCACUUGGCAUGUUCAACUGUGAGCACAUUGUUUGUUGAAUUCAUCAUGAAGUCGUCGUUUCUCUUUGGCUGGAUAAUCCUCUUUUUGCUGGUUUCCUUCUCUGGUCAGGCAUGGAGUCAAGGUUUUAUUGGAAGUCAUCGCUACGUCCAGCUGCCACUUCCUGGUCAGACUGAACAGACGCAACCCGCAGCGUGGCAGUGGAGUCAGGGAAGACGACAGGAUUACUCGAAAGUUCCUCGCCUCGUGCCGCACAUUUGUCCAGCCGGAUAUGUUUCAGCGUAUCAUGGUUGCGUGAAAUAUCCCAAAAAGUAACCUGCAAAGAAUUGAGCACCAGGAAGCCACCAUUUACACAAUUACAAAAACAAUUACUGUAAAUACUCUAUUUAUAGCCGUGUCUAACAACAGCACAGAUUCGUCUGCAAUUACAAACCGGGUAUAAUUGGGGACCCGGGUAAACUUUUAUUUCGGUCAAACUUGAAGUAUCUAAGAAAAUGCAUUAAACGAAUGCCACAAUUAGAGACAAGCUUAUUGAAUUUUUCCAGCUUGGGCUCAAGACCCAGCUAUAAAUCGAAUAUUUACGGUAUCUAAGAAAUGUCAUUACAUACACUUUUAAAUUCGUUGCGUACACUGUGCAUUAAGAUUUACACAGUUACUUAAAGAUGUACAUACAUAUUUAUGUUACAUAUAACAUUGAGGUAAUUUACGCAGGCCUUUGUAACAUCGUAAAAUUCAUAAAUUUAUAAACCCUUACAUAAUUUUACAUACAUUUCGGGGAAGAUUAUGUAGCCUAAAAAUUUGUGUAACCUUGCUCAGAUCAAGAAUGUCUUUUUAUUUUGUAAAUAAAGGUUUGUAAAAUUAUUUUACAAAACGCACGGAUGUUACAAGUAAUCCGUGAAUUGUUGUUUAUGUAAAAGUAUGUAAAAAUGUCGAAACUAGUUUAUGGAAACUGGCACGGAUAAAUAGAAGAAUUAAUCUUUUAUAAAUAAAUAAAUUUUGUUCUGAAAUUAAAAACAGUUGUUUCUAAAUUGGGUUCACUGAUAUUCAAGAAUUGGAUUUAUUUGUUGCAACUUUUAUUCGAUUACAAUUAAACUUUUUGGAAAGUUUAAUCAAGCAGGAAUUAAUUACGUUUUUGUUUAGGAACAUCUUAAAAGUGAAGUAAAUAGAUACCUAUAGAUUUAUUAAAUUGGAUUGAGAGACAGCGAAAAAUAAACUUGGAAAUGAACAAUCCUAAAUAAAUAAGUAAAUAGGUAUUACUGUAAUCUUAUUUGUUUAACUUAAUUGAAACAAGCUAUCUGAUGCACUCUAAAAUAUAAUAACACCGUUUUCAACGGUACUAUUAAAUGCACUCUGAAUUCUACGUUAAGCAAACUAUGAUAAAUCCAGAUUACACUUUACCCAGUUAAAGUUAUUCUGGAUUUUGUGAACUUUUAAAAAUCUGGUAGGGUGACAUAUGUACAUGUAAAUAUACUCGGUACUGAUGUUGAUAUGGUAAUAAUUUCUUACCGGAUUGGUAGUAGUUAAGUAAGAGUAACUCCGUAAGAGUUUAUUAAAUAAAGAAUAGAGAGUGCGUCUGCAUACUACUGUAAAGCUUAACAUUAUUCUUAAGAGUGCUUGUCAUGAAAUAUGUAAAUUUUAAUAUGUAACUUUGUAUGAAUUAAACUACAUCCAGAAAUAGAAGCGUUUUAACUUUAA
Molecule: long non-coding RNA, 3420 nt
Organism: Folsomia candida
Lineage: Eukaryota; Metazoa; Arthropoda; Collembola; Entomobryomorpha; Isotomidae
Exons: 5
Source: RefSeq, a predicted model, not a curated record